AGAGUUUGAUCAUGGCUCAGAGCGAACGCUGGCGGCGUGGAUAAGACAUGCAAGUCGAGCGAGAUUUUUUUCUGUAGCAAUACAGGGAAAAGUCUAGCGGCGAACGGGUGCGUAACACGUGGGCAACCUGCCAACAAGUGGGGGAUAGCUCGCCGAAAGGCGAAUUAAUACCGCAUGUGAUUAGAGUGGACAUCCAUUCAAAAUCAAAGUCGGGGCAACCUGACGCUUCUUGAGGGGCCCGCGGCCUAUCAGCUAGUUGGUGAGGUAACGGCCCACCAAGGCUUAGACGGGUAGCUGGUCUGAGAGGACGACCAGCCACACUGGGACUGAGACACGGCCCAGACACCUACGGGUGGCAGCAGUCGAGAAUUUUUCUCAAUGGGGGAAACCCUGAAGGAGCGACGCCGCGUGGAGGAUGAAGGUCUUCGGGUUGUAAACUCCUGUCAUUUGGGAACAAUGCGCAAAUAUUAACUGUAUUUGCGUUGAUAGUACCAGAAGAGGAAGGGACGGCUAACUCUGUGCCAGCAGCCGCGGUAAUACAGAGGUCCCAAGCGUUGUUCGGAUUCAUUGGGCGUAAAGGGUGCGUAGGCGGCGCGGUAAGUCGGGUGUGAAAUCUCGGGGCUUAACUCCGAAACUGCAUUCGAUACUGCCGUGCUUGAGGACUGGAGAGGAGACUGGAAUUUACGGUGUAGCGGUGAAAUGCGUAGAUAUCGUAAGGAAGACCAGUGGCGAAAGCGGGUCUCUGGACAGUUCCUGACGCUGAGGCACGAAAGCCAGGGGAGCAAACGGGAUUAGAUACCCCGGUAGUCCUGGCAGUAAACGGUGCACGUUUGGUGUGGGAGGAUUCGACCCCUUCUGCGCCGGAGCUAACGCGUUAAACGUGCCGCCUGGGGAGUACGGUCGCAAGAUUAAAACUCAAAGAAUUGACGGGGGCCCGCACAAGCGGUGGAGUAUGUGGCUC
This 961-nucleotide ribosomal RNA is filed under the name uncultured bacterium. Its description in RNAcentral is "bacterial SSU rRNA". It matches the Rfam family "Bacterial small subunit ribosomal RNA", at positions 8 to 947 of the family's 1533-position model. The record is from RNAcentral.